Molecule: ribosomal RNA, 468 nt
Filed under: uncultured bacterium
Lineage: Bacteria
Description: partial 16S ribosomal RNA
Rfam family: Bacterial small subunit ribosomal RNA
Source: RNAcentral
GACGAACGCUGGCGGCGUGCUUAACACAUGCAAGUCGAACGGAAAGGCCCUGCUUUUGUGGGGUGCUCGAGUGGCGAACGGGUGCGUAUCACGUGAGUAACCUGCCCUUGACUUUGGGAUAACUUCAGGAAACUGGGGCGAAUUCCGCAUAGGAGCUCCUGCUGCAUGGUGGGGGUGGGGAAGUUUCGGCGGUUGGGGAUGGACUCGCGGCUUAUCAGCUUGUUGGUGGGGUAGUGGCUUACCAAGGCUUUGACGGGUAGCCGGCCUGAGAGGGUGACCGGCCACAUUGGGACUGAGAUACGGCCCAGACUCCUACGGGAGGCAGCAGUGGGGAAUAUUGCACAAUGGGCGGAAGCCUGAUGCAGCAACGCCGCGUGCGGGAUGACGGCCUUCGGGUUGUAAACCGCUUUCGCCUGUGACGAAGCGUGAGUGACGGUAAUGGGUAAAGAAGCACCGGCUAACUACGUG